Molecule: transfer RNA, 16 nt
Filed under: Lissotriton vulgaris (common newt)
Lineage: Eukaryota; Metazoa; Chordata; Amphibia; Caudata; Salamandridae
Description: partial tRNA-Leu
Source: RNAcentral
AACUUUUAAAGGAUAA